RNAcentral lists this transfer RNA (71 nucleotides) under Candidatus Tremblayella princeps. RNAcentral's name for it is "Candidatus Tremblaya princeps tRNA-His(GTG)". It matches the Rfam family "tRNA", at positions 5 to 66 of the family's 71-position model. Rfam says of the family: Transfer RNA (tRNA) molecules are approximately 80 nucleotides in length. The record is from RNAcentral. Lineage: Bacteria; Pseudomonadati; Pseudomonadota; Betaproteobacteria.
UGACUGUAGCUCAGUUGGCAGAGCUCAGGAUUGUGGUUCCUGCUGGUAUGGGUUAGAGUCCCAUCAGCCAC